This 77-nucleotide transfer RNA is filed under the name Chloroflexota bacterium. RNAcentral describes it as "Chloroflexi bacterium tRNA-Glu". It matches the Rfam family "tRNA". Rfam says of the family: Transfer RNA (tRNA) molecules are approximately 80 nucleotides in length. Their secondary structure includes four short double-helical elements and three loops (D, anti-codon, and T loops). Lineage: Bacteria; Bacillati; Chloroflexota. RNAcentral also lists the same sequence under 1 other name. The record is from RNAcentral.
GGCCCGUUCGUCUAGCGGCCCAGGACACUGCCCUCUCAAGGCAGAGACCAGCGGUUCGAAUCCGCUACGGGCUACCA